Molecule: unclassified non-coding RNA, 313 nt
Filed under: Hevea brasiliensis (rubber tree)
Lineage: Eukaryota; Viridiplantae; Streptophyta; Magnoliopsida; Malpighiales; Euphorbiaceae
Source: RNAcentral
GCCGAUUAUCACAUGUAAAAGGGGAAAAAAAAUCCAGCCCGUUGUCUAAUUAAGCGGAGAUUGCUUUUGGGUGCAUCCAUGUGGAGAUUUGUCUUGACUUUGCUCCUUGUACAUUGAAGAAACUGGGGAGCAAGUGGAAGGCACUGUCACAGCCUCCACAAAUUGACAAUUAUGCAGAUUUCCCCACGCUUUAGACUAUAACUGUCAAUGGUCAUCAAGAACAAGUAGAAAACAGCGAGGUCACUAUAGAUAUUCCCCACAAGAAGCCGCCUGAAACCCACUAUUCCCCACUAGAAGCCGCCUGAAACCCAUU